Molecule: long non-coding RNA, 307 nt
Filed under: Physcomitrium patens
Lineage: Eukaryota; Viridiplantae; Streptophyta; Bryopsida; Funariales; Funariaceae
Description: long non-coding RNA (PPAT_LNC010711)
Source: RNAcentral
UGAGUGAGUGACGCAGAGUUUCCGCACAAUGGCGUCCUUCACCAUGGCAGCCGCCAUCGCCCCUGCUGGCCUCGUCGCCCCUCUCGACCUCAGCUCCCGCACCGCCAUCUCUGGCUCCCGUGCUUCCGCGUUCGUUAAGAACUCCAAGGCCAGGACGACCUGCUCUGCAUCAUCCGUCGACGAAACCACCACUGUCGCGCAAGCCGCGGGGAAGUUCGCUACCGCGUUGGCGCUGGCUGCUCUCGUUGGCGGGAGUGAUAUGGUUGUGCCUGAGGCCAAGGCCGAUGUUGCUGGUCUGACCCCUUGC